GUUUAAGGCAAGUAAACUUCAUAAUUUCAUGUUAUCAGUUGUUGUUUUUUUACUAAGAGUAAAAUAAUGUUUGUUUUUUGUUUUUGUAGAUGUUAAAAGCAAGAGACAUGGGAGAUCAUCAUUCCCUUGAGAUUUUAUAACUCAAACCAACUUUGGAGUUGUCUGAUUUGGAGAGUCAUUAUUCUUGGUCUUCGCUCUUAGAGGCCACUGAUGAAGAACAGGCGGUGACUGGGAUGAAUGCUGGUCAGAGAGGAGAAUCUUCUUUCCCCUAAACUGAUGCAGCGGUGGUUUUAAAGGAGGACGCUGCCCUGGAUGAUGUAGAAGAUGUCACAUGCUGUGCUGAUGGGGUUUCUUUAUGAUUACAUCAGUUAUGCUAAAGAGAUCAUGAAAAUUGACCGUGAUGCAUGAUCUGUAUUCAUGGACUAUGAAACAAACUGUAAGUCUAUAAUUUGUUAAAAAAAAAAAAAGUUAAAUGCUUUUUCUG
This is a long non-coding RNA of Carassius gibelio (silver crucian carp), 484 nucleotides long. RefSeq lists it as uncharacterized. The record is from RefSeq and is a predicted model, not a curated record. The transcript has 3 exons. Lineage: Eukaryota; Metazoa; Chordata; Actinopteri; Cypriniformes; Cyprinidae.